UAGGGAAUCUUCCACAAUGGACGCAAGUCUGAUGGAGCAACGCCGCGUGAGUGAAGAAGGUUUUCGGAUCGUAAAGCUCUGUUGUUGGUGAAGAAGGAUAGAGGUAGUAACUGGCCUUUAUUUGACGGUAAUCAACCAGAAAGUCACGGCUAACUACGUGCCAGCAGCCGCGGUAAUACGUAGGUGGCAAGCGUUGUCCGGAUUUAUUGGGCGUAUAGCGAGCGCAGGCGGAAGAAUAAGUCUGAUGUGAAAGCCCUCGGCUUAACCGAGGAACUGCAUCGGAAACUGUUUUUCUUGAGUGCAGAAGAGGAGAGUGGAAUUCCAUGUGUAGCGGUGGAAUGCGUAGAUAUAUGGAAGAACACCAGUGGCGAAGGCGACUCUCUGGUCUGCAACUGACGCUGAGGCUCGAAAGCAUGGGUAGCGAACAGG
RNAcentral lists this ribosomal RNA (429 nucleotides) under bacterium. Its description in RNAcentral is "partial 16S ribosomal RNA". It matches the Rfam family "Bacterial small subunit ribosomal RNA", at positions 355 to 776 of the family's 1533-position model. The record is from RNAcentral.